This 347-nucleotide ribosomal RNA is filed under the name uncultured bacterium. RNAcentral's name for it is "partial 16S ribosomal RNA". It matches the Rfam family "Bacterial small subunit ribosomal RNA", at positions 338 to 682 of the family's 1533-position model. The record is from RNAcentral.
CCUACGGGUGGCAGCAGUGAGGAAUAUUGGUCAAUGGACGAGAGUCUGAACCAGCCAAGUAGCGUGAAGGAUGACGGCCCUAUGGGUGGUAAACUGCGUUUAUAGGGGAAUAAAAUGUGCCACGUGUGGGAUUUUGUAUGUACCAUAUGAAUAAGGAUCGGCUAACUCCGUGCCAGCAGCCGCGGUAAUACGGAGGAUCCGAGCGUUAUCCGGAUUUAUUGGGUUGAAAGGGAGCGUAGGGGGAUUGUUAAGUCAGUGGUGAAAGUUUGCGGCUCAACCGUAAAAUUGCAGUUGCAACUGGCAGUCUUGAGUACAGUCGCGGUGGGCGGCAUUCGUGGUGUAGCGGU